AAGUCGAACGGAGAUUACAGGCGGAAGUUUUCGGAUGGAAGCUUGUAAACUUAGUGGCGGACGGGUGAGUAACACGUGAGCAACCUGCCUAUCAGAGGGGGAUAACGGUUGGAAACGAUCGCUAAUACCGCAUGACAUAGCGGAACCGCAUGGUUCUGUUAUCAAAGAUUUUAUCGCUGAUAGAUGGGCUCGCGUCCGAUUAGAUAGUUGGUGGGGUAACGGCCUACCAAGUCGACGAUCGGUAGCCGGACUGAGAGGUCGAACGGCCACAUUGGGACUGAGACACGGCCCAGACUCCUACGGGAGGCAGCAGUGGGGGAUAUUGCACAAUGGGGGAAACCCUGAUGCAGCGACGCCGCGUGAGGGAAGACGGUCCUCUGGAUUGUAAACCUCUGUCUUCGGGGACGAAACGAGACGGUACCCGAGGAGGAAGCCACGGCUAACUACGUGCCAGCAGCCGCGGUAAUACGUAGGUGGCAAGCGUUGUCCGGAAUUACUGGGUGUAAAGGGAGCGUAGGCGGGCAGGCAAGUCAGGCGUGAAAUAUAUCGGCUCAACCGGUAACGGCGCUUGAAACUGCAGGUCUUGAGUGAAGUAGAGGUUGGCGGAAUUCCUAGUGUAGCGGUGAAAUGCGUAGAUAUUAGGAGGAACACCAGUGGCGAAGGCGGCCAACUGGGCUUUUACUGACGCUGAGGCUCGAAAGUGUGGGGAGCAAACAGGAUUAGAUACCCUGGUAGUCCACACCGUAAACGAUGAUUACUAGGUGUGGGGGGGACUGACCCCUUCCGUGCCGGAGUUAACACAAUGAGUAAUCCACCUGGGGAGUACGGCCGCAAGGUUGAAACUCAAGGAAUUGACGG
This 858-nucleotide ribosomal RNA is filed under the name uncultured bacterium. Its description in RNAcentral is "bacterial SSU rRNA". It matches the Rfam family "Bacterial small subunit ribosomal RNA", at positions 59 to 916 of the family's 1533-position model. The record is from RNAcentral.